AUGCGUCACCCGAGGGAGCCCUCCUCUGCUUCUCCUUCGCUAGAAUCGCGCCAAGUCCGGUGCCCCUGCUUCCUUGAGACCUGUGUCGCCGGAUCUCAUUGCCUCAUCCUCGGAUCCGCCCAUCUUCUAUGCUCCCCGCUUCUCCGUGCCGUUACCUCGCCAAGCCACCAAGUCCCUCGCCGCGCUGCAUCUUGUCUGCGGCAAGCGGGAGUUGCAGUCGCUGCAGGUCGCUCCGUUGAUCCGGCCUCCUCCGCCCUGAUCACGUCAACCGGUCGGGCCAGCCGAACCCGCUCGGUCCUACCGGCUCGCACGAACCGGUCUGGCCCGAUCCGUCCAAACCAGCCCCGACCUCUGCCCAUCUUCAGCAGGCCCGUUCGGCCCAGGUUGCAGGUGCCGAUGAUACCAGUGCAGAUGACGCAACUGAGCUCAAGUGGGAGCUCGAUGAAGAUCGUGUUCAUUGUGUUGUUUCGUUUUACAGUUGAUCAGUAG
This 489-nucleotide ribosomal RNA is filed under the name Triticum aestivum (bread wheat). RNAcentral's name for it is "partial small subunit ribosomal RNA". The record is from RNAcentral. Lineage: Eukaryota; Viridiplantae; Streptophyta; Magnoliopsida; Poales; Poaceae.